RNAcentral lists this ribosomal RNA (1351 nucleotides) under metagenome. Its description in RNAcentral is "bacterial LSU rRNA". It matches the Rfam family "Bacterial large subunit ribosomal RNA", at positions 1564 to 2925 of the family's 2925-position model. The record is from RNAcentral.
UGAGUGCGAGCGGCUACGGCCGCGAAGUGGGUGAUGUCAAGCUUCCAAGAAAAGCCCUAUACCCGUUAAGGCAUGAUGGCCUGUACCCGAAACCGACACAGGUGGGGUGGUAGAGAAUACCGAGGGGCGCGAGGUAACUCUCUCUAAGGAACUCGGCAAAAUGGCCCCGUAACUUCGGGAGAAGGGGUGCCACCGCAAGGUGGUCGCAGUGAAGAGGCCCAGGCGACUGUUUACCAAAAACACAGGUCUCCGCUAAGUCGCAAGACGAUGUAUGGGGGCUGACGCCUGCCCAGUGCCGGAAGGUUAAGGAAGCUGGUCAGCGCAAGCGAAGCUGGCGACUGAAGCCCCGGUGAACGGCGGCCGUAACAAUAACGGUCCUAAGGUAGCGAAAUUCCUUGUCGGGUAAGUUCCGACCCGCACGAAAGGCGUAACGAUCUGGGCGCUGUCUCGGAGAGAGGCUCGGCGAAAUAGAAUUGUCUGUGAAGAUGCGGACUACGUGCACCCGGACAGAAAGACCCUAUGAAGCCUUACUGUAGCUUGGUAUUGUGCCCGGGCUCUGAAUGCGCAGGAUAGGUGGGAGGCUUUGAUCCAUGGCUUGCGGGUCAUGGUGAGCCAACGGUGAGAUACCACUCUUUCAGAGCUAGGGUUCUAACGGUCACCCGUCAUCCGGGGACCGGACAGUAUCAGGUGGGCAGUUUGACUGGGGCGGUCGCCUCCUAAAAGGUAACGGAGGCGCGCAAAGGUUUGCUCAGGCUGGUUGGAAAUCAGCCGACGAGUGCAAAAGCAGAAGCAAGCUUGACUGUGAGACCUACAAGUCGAACAGGGACGAAAGUCGGCUUUAGUGAUCCGACGGUUCUGAGUGGAAGGGCCGCCGCUCAACGGAUAAAAGUUACUCUAGGAUAACAGGCUGAUCUCCCCCAAGAGUUCACAUCGACGGGGAGGUUUGGCACCUCGAUGUCGGCUCAUCGCAACCUGGGGCUGAAGUCGGUCCCAAGGGUUGGGCUGUUCGCCCAUUAAAGCGGUACGCGAGCUGGGUUCAGAACGUCGUGAGACAGUUCGGUCCAUAUCCGGUGCACGCGCAGGAACAUUGAGAGGAUUUCUCCCUAGUACGAGAGGACCGGGAGGAACGCACCUCUGGUGUGCCAGUUAUCGUGCCAACGGUAAACGCUGGGUAGCCAUGUGCGGAGUGGAUAACCGCUGAAAGCAUCUAAGUGGGAAGCCCACCUCAAGAUGAGUGUUCCCAUGGCAUAAGCCAGUAAGGUCACGGGAAGAACACCCGUUGAUAGGCUCUACGUGGAAGCCGGGUAACCGGUGAAGCGGAGGAGUACUAAUAGACCGAGGGCUUGACCGG